UAGGGUAUGUAUUGAAAUGCCACCAGGUAAACAAACCAUGUACAUAUGGUAUAUCCGAGAUCAUGGUGAUGUAUGCUAUGACAGUUGACUAUGACAAUGUGGUGCAUUGGGAAUACAUCAUCACGUUAACAUGCAUUACAAACCAUGGAAUCAUGAAUAGGAUUUUGAUAAAAUUGGAGAAAAAAUGACGGCCUAUUUAGAAUCGCUGGGACACGGAUUGGUCAGUCUGGUGCAGACCUGCCUACUGGUCUUCCUACUUAUUAAUUUCGGUAAAGCUACUGAGUUCUGCCACGAAAAAGCCCUGAGUUAUCAGGAGUCUGUGUUAGUACCUUAUUCGUGUCCGUCCUAUUGUUGCGAGGACUACAGUCCACGCUACAAGAUCUACUGCUGUACUGAUUGCACCAAGAGCCACGCUACACAAUGUUCAACUCACGUGCGAACAGGUGCGAUAGUUGGCGCAAGUCUGGCAGCAGCGACCUCUUUUAUGUUCAUCGCCUGUGCGACCUGUGUCGCCUGUUAUAAAUGUCGGACGAAAUACAGAAAGCGACAGCAACGGCUGAGGGCUCAGGCCCGUUCGUCCCAAAUAUACAGUUUUCCCGGCCACUCCGAAAGACUGCACACGUCAGGAAUAACAGAUCCUGCGUUGGGAUACAUAGGUCCUUAUACUGGCGUAGGACAUUCGGUCCGCCUUGAUCUAAAUGAGACGCCAACCUUCUCACCGACACCGCCGGCGUACUCUGAUGUGAUGGAGCCCCCACCGCCUUACACAUCAGUCGUAAGACAUCACGGCGGAUAUAUGAACUACGCAGGACCGGAUAUGACGUCUGAGACCUACAUUUAGUAAUCAAAGAUAGAACAAUUUCAGAUCAAAUCGGUAGCCUGAAGGUGACUGAUAUACCAGGUAUAUCAGUCACGUAACCAUGCCCAGGAACGAACAGGGUAUGGUUUUACUUCGCGAUAAAUGUAUUUCCCGUAAAAUCAUAAACAAUGCAAAUGUGGUGUACAUGUUGUAGAGACACCUAUUGGCGAUUUCGUGCGACUUUAUCUGGCCAACCUGACUUCUGCCUAUGCCUUUAAAUACAAGAACGCUCAUUGUCUCUGAGCUCUGAGCUCAUAACUGAGAGAAGAGGAAGUGGGUAGUGAUAGUCGUUCCGCGUGUACAUGUAUGUGUAUAUCUGGUGCCGUGAUGACCAAAUAACUCAUGUUUAUAAAUAAGAUGUAUGCCCGUAGUAAUAUUAUUCAUGUAAAUAGUAAAAUAAGUACUGUAAAUAGAUAGAUUCUAAUUUGUACUGCAUGUUUGUGUGAUGUUGUUGGAUCAACUUGUCCCAUGUCGGCACAUUAUCCUCCUGGUCACUCUAGUGAAAUCCUGCGACCAGGCAAGUUGUCCGAUCUCUCAAAAAGUAUGCCAUUUUUUUACACAAAUAAGUGAAGCAGGUACUUGUUAACCGACUGUCACAAGUGCUCGAAUAUGUAUCGCUAAUAUCAAGUAUAUUUGGUAUUAUGAAAGAAUACAAUGGGGGUUGACCUGGAUUCGAUAAGAUUUAAAGGUACACAUGCAUUACCUGUCGAGUCAUAGCUCGGGUAAAGCGAAUUAACAGUAGUUUAAUUGUAAUUACCAAGUAGGGGACCUAGUCUAUUCAAACAAGCCAACUUUACCUCAAACGACCUGUUACUUUCAACCCAGCGCAAAAGAUACAUCCAUAACUCUUACCGACGCAUGUCUGCAUUUUACUCUCUCAAGCUGCUUACUCCGAAAACUAACUGACACACGCGUGUUCAUGGUACGUCCCCUUUAAGAUUAUUUGACAUGAUUUGAAUGAUUUGGCAAAGGUGUAUAUUUCGAUAGAAGUUUUUGGGUAAGAUAUCGUCAGACAACAAGGUUAGGCAACAUGGCUGCCAGUGGUGUCUCGGGCACAUUCUGCCAAAUCAUCAGGAAUGCGAAGGGCCACGUAGAGAGCGUCCAAUUCUGCCCGACAGGGGUGUACUGUUGCCGUGAAAGGUUGUAUGACGCCCUCACGUGUUGUAAUGACGUCUCGAAAAAGGUGGACACGCUGGACCUGGUUCCCGCUGGAGGUCAACCGAAGAUGGAGCCAUCCACUGAUGAUGGUUCUUGCAUCAGCAUGACGUAUUUCUGGAUCGGCAUGGGGUGUUUUCUUGCUGUGGUUCUCCUCUUGCUGAUUGUCGUCGCUUGCAUCAUCGGCAAGAUGCGGUCAAAGAAAUCAAGCAAUUUCUCGCGAUUUGAUGACCCAAGUGUCCAACAAUCUGGCAAUCCCUACCCCUUGAAGAUGAUGGAACAUGGAACAUCACGGGAGGAUGUCGGGACAGGUAAUGUCAACUACGCAGGUCCGGAAAUGGCAUAGCCUGUUGACUUGAUGAAGCUAUCAAAAGAGAUACUCUCUGUGUGUUUUUGGAGUCUCAGCGAAUCGAUGACUGUUUUGAAGCUGUAUUCAACCCUUUCCGAGUUUUAUAGAUAGUCAUAAUAACUCGUAUGUCUACCGGUGUUCACAGCGGAUGGACUUUUAUACACCGGUUUUCUCUUCACGGGCUAGCUCUUAUGGACCACAUUGACAUUUCUCAACGAAAUUAAUGCAAAUAAACCGACACGACGUGCACAAAAAGAACGAUCUGUAUAAAACUUUUGCUAUAAAACUUUUACUACAAAACUUAUCACAUGUAUCGACCCCAUGUUUCAAUUUUUUUUAUUUCGGAAAUAUAUCUGAUAUUACUUG
Lineus longissimus is the source of this 2729-nucleotide RNA transcript. RefSeq lists it as uncharacterized. The record is from RefSeq and is a predicted model, not a curated record. NCBI's taxonomy places the organism in Eukaryota, Metazoa, Nemertea, Pilidiophora, Heteronemertea, Lineidae. The transcript has 7 exons.